RNAcentral lists this ribosomal RNA (485 nucleotides) under uncultured bacterium. RNAcentral's name for it is "partial 16S ribosomal RNA". It matches the Rfam family "Bacterial small subunit ribosomal RNA", at positions 30 to 507 of the family's 1533-position model. The record is from RNAcentral.
AUUGAACGCUGGCGGCAGGCUUAACACAUGCAAGUCGAGCGGGGGAAGGUAGCUUGCUACCGGACCUAGCGGCGGACGGGUGAGUAAUGCUUAGGAAUCUGCCUAUUAGUGGGGGACAACAUCUCGAAAGGGAUGCUAAUACCGCAUACGUCCUACGGGAGAAAGCAGGGGAUCUUCGGACCUUGCGCUAAUAGAUGAGCCUAAGUCGGAUUAGCUAGUUGGUGGGGUAAAGGCCUACCAAGGCGACGAUCUGUAGCGGGUCUGAGAGGAUGAUCCGCCACACUGGGACGGAGACACGGCCCAGACUCCUACGGGAGGCAGCAGUGGGGAAUAUUGGACAAUAGGGGGAACCCUGAUCCAGCCAUGCCGCGUGUGUGAAGAAGGCCUUAUGGUUGUAAAGCACGUUAAGCGAGGAGGAGGCUACUUUAGUUAAUACCUAGAGAUAGUGGACGUUACUCGCAGAAUAAGCACCGGCUAACUCUGUG